Long non-coding RNA from Mesocricetus auratus (golden hamster), 1075 nucleotides. RefSeq lists it as uncharacterized. The transcript has 3 exons. The record is from RefSeq and is a predicted model, not a curated record. NCBI's taxonomy places the organism in Eukaryota, Metazoa, Chordata, Mammalia, Rodentia, Cricetidae.
AGCAUGAAGAAGUCCGCAGGGGAAUUACCAUUUGCUACUGGAACAAAGCAAACCCCAACCUUCCACAUCUUAGCAUCGCCUUUGCAUUUUGUGACAUUCACGGCAGGGCCUCCACAGUGAGCAGCACCUGCCCUGAGCCAGGCUGCACACAGGGUGCUUAUCAAAUAUUCUCUUUCUCCUGAGGAGGAAACUGAGGCCUGGGGAGGUCAAGUAAGUUCCCCAAGGCCACAGACACUAGUAAAGAUCAGAAUGUAGAGUCAGAGCCAGCUGUCGUCAAAUCCCGAGUUUUUCUCGGUCAUAAUGGAGCUCUGUUAAACGAACAGCAAUGGACACAAAGGGGGUUAAAAUCCAGACUACGUGAGCUCUGAAUCACCACUUCAUACAACCUUCCUGUGGCACAGCUGCACAAGAGCCAAGACUUACACCAUGACGCUCCCUCUUGACACUGGACAGUGGAGGGAGGCAGUGGCUGUGUAAACUGCAAAGGCCCUGGAAUACGCUGCCUCCUGGUCCCAAAAGCAAACGGGGGACACUGGGGCCCGCACCCCACCACAGCACAAUAGGCGUAAGAACAGCAGGACACUGAUGGCUCCAUUUUCUGCUCGGAUGACUUUGGUCAAACUUCCUCGCUCCUCCGAGCCUCAGUUUACCCAUCUCCUAACUGGGAUUAAAAUCACUUUACCAAAGGCUGCCGGAAGCUACUGGAGACAACACAUUGAAACCAUGUGCUGAGCAAAACCCAGAAGAAAGGGUAAAUACGGAGGCUACAAUGGAGAACUUUUCUACCAUUAGGAUCCACACGGUCUCCCCGAAACAGUCGUGUUAAAAGCUUUGGACGUGACUGGGUGCUGAUGGAUCUGGGACAAGUGAGCCUGGCGUGCUUCAGGUCACACAACGCCUUUGCGGGAACUGGGGACCACGGCUGAUGCCUCAUAAGCUCUUUCACUGUCAGGGCGUGGAGCGAGUGACUUUGCUCUACUCCAUGUUCCUGCCACAAAGGCUCCAACCGCAGGCCCCAAAGCAGCAGGACUGACCAAUCAUGGACUCUAAAGUUAAAAUAAACCUUUACACUCUA